CGGGGCUGGUGAGGGGCCUGGGGCUGGUGAGGGGCCUGGGUCUGAGGCCUGAGCCUGGGCCUGCACAGUGGUAGGAAGCACAGGCAGGGCAGAGGGGAUGGCUGGCAAGUGGGGGUGCGGUCAAGUUGGGGGUCUUGGUGGCCAAGUAAAGACAGUGCUUCCGGACGGAGGGGCUUAUCACCUGUGCUGCUGAGGGACAGGGCCGGGGGCUGAAGAUCACGCUUGGAGUGGGGGCUACACACCUGACAGAGGGGGAUGAGGGGGGCCACGGAGGAGGACACCAGGGCUGUGCUCUCACCAGGUCUCCAGGGUCUUGCCAUAAACUGCAGCGAAGACAUAGGAUGCUGGCUGCAGAGGUUUGGGCUGCAGCCUCCUAAAUGUGGGGCCUGUAUCUUUUUAAAAUGAGCCUAGGAUUUGUUGUAAUCAGGGAGGGUAACACACAGACGCAGGAAUGACCGUCUUGUAGGAAGAAAGUUCUUUUAUCCACAGAGAGUGGGGGCUGCUCCACGCAGCUGGGUGGUCGGGGCACAGGAAUGGGCAAGACGUCAGCAUCAAAACUACAGAAAAAGACGCGCUUAGUGAGGUGGUACAACAGCUACCACGACCUCAGCUAAUAAAAAAAUGUGGGCCUUGAAGUGGGGGACCCAUGGCUUGUCACGCUGGUGGGAGGCACCGGG
RNAcentral lists this long non-coding RNA (677 nucleotides) under Homo sapiens (human). Its description in RNAcentral is "HSALNT0216873". The record is from RNAcentral. Lineage: Eukaryota; Metazoa; Chordata; Mammalia; Primates; Hominidae.